UACGUAGGGUGCGAGCGUUGCCCGGAUUCAUUGGGCGUAAAGGGUGCGUAGGCGGCGCGGUAAGUCGGGUGUGAAAUCUCGGGGCUUAACUCCGAAACUGCAUUCGAUACUGCCGUGCUUGAGGACUGGAGAGGAGACUGGAAUUUACGGUGUAGCGGUGAAAUGCGUAGAUAUCGUAAGGAAGACCAGUGGCGAAGGCGGGUCUCUGGACAGUUCCUGACGCUGAGGCACGAAGGCCAGGGGAGCAAACGGG
Molecule: ribosomal RNA, 253 nt
Filed under: uncultured bacterium
Lineage: Bacteria
Description: partial 16S ribosomal RNA
Rfam family: Bacterial small subunit ribosomal RNA
Source: RNAcentral